This 253-nucleotide ribosomal RNA is filed under the name uncultured bacterium. Its description in RNAcentral is "partial 16S ribosomal RNA". It matches the Rfam family "Bacterial small subunit ribosomal RNA", at positions 524 to 776 of the family's 1533-position model. The record is from RNAcentral.
UACGGAGGGUGCAAGCGUUAUCCGGAUUCACUGGGUUUAAAGGGUGCGUAGGAGGGCAGGUAAGUCAGUGGUGAAAUCUUCGAGCUUAACUCGGAAACUGCCGUUGAUACUAUCUGUCUUGAAUACCGUGGAGGUGAGCGGAAUAUGUCAUGUAGCGGUGAAAUGCUUAGAUAUGACAUAGAACACCAAUUGCGAAGGCAGCUCGCUACACGAAUAUUGACUCCGAGGCACGAAAGCGUGGGGAUCAAACAGG